Molecule: ribosomal RNA, 453 nt
Filed under: uncultured bacterium
Lineage: Bacteria
Description: partial 16S ribosomal RNA
Rfam family: Bacterial small subunit ribosomal RNA
Source: RNAcentral
AACGAACGCUGGCGGCAAGCUUAACACAUGCAAGUCGAACGCACCUAGCAAUAGGUGAGUGGCAGACGGGUGAGUAACGCGUGGGAACAUGCCCUUUGGUGCGGAAUAGCACAUGGAAACGUUUGGUAAUACCGGAUAAGCCCGAGAGGGCAAAGAUGUAUUGCCAAAGGAUUGGCCCGCGUCCGAUUAGAUAGUUGGAAGAGUAAUAGCCUACCAAGGCGACGAUCGGUAGCUGGUCUGAGAGGAUAAUCAGCCACAUUGGGACUGAGACACGGCACAAACUUCUACGGAAUGAAGCAGUGGGGAAUAUUGGACAAUGGGCGCAAGCCUGAUCCAGCUAUGCCGAGUGAGUGACCAGAAGGCCUUAGAGUUGUAAAGCUCUUUCAGUAGUGAAGAUAAUGACGGUAACUAAAGAAGAAGCCCCGGCUAACUUCGUGCCAGCCGCCGCGGUAA